Molecule: long non-coding RNA, 766 nt
Organism: Oncorhynchus keta (chum salmon)
Lineage: Eukaryota; Metazoa; Chordata; Actinopteri; Salmoniformes; Salmonidae
Exons: 3
Source: RefSeq, a predicted model, not a curated record
GCUGUCCAGUAAUACAUCAGGUCAGGCUGUCCAGUAAUACAUCAGGUCAGGCUGUCCAGUAACAUGCUAUACAUCAGGUCAGGCUGUCCAGUAACAUGCUAUACAUCAGGUCAGGCUGUCCAGUAAUACAUCAGGUCAGGCUGUCCAGUAACAUGCUAUACAUCAGGUCAGGCUGUCCAGUAACAUGCUAUACAUCAGGUCAGGCUGUCCAGUAAUACAUCAGGUCAGGCUGUCCAGUAAUACAUCAGGACAGGCUGUCCAGUAAUACAUCAGGUCAGGCUGUCCAGUAAUACAUCAGGUCAGGCUGUCCAGUAAUACAUCAGGUCAGGCUGUCCAGUAACAUGCUAUACAUCAGGUCAGGCUGUCCAGUAACAUGCUAUACAUCAGGUCAGGCUGUCCAGUAAUACAUCAGGUCAGGCUGUCCAGUAACAUGCUAUACAUCAGGUCAGGCUGUCCAGUAACAUGCUAUACAUCAGGUCAGGCUGUCCAGUAAUACAUCAGGUCAGGCUGUCCAGUAAUACAUCAGGUCAGGCUGUCCAGUAAUACAUCAGGUCAGGCUGUCCAGUAAUACAUCAGGUCAGGCUGUCCAGUAACAUGCUAUACAUCAGGUCAGGCUGUCCAGUAACAUGCUAUACAUCAGGUCAGGCUGUCCAGUAACAUGCUAUACAUCAGGUCAGGCUGUCCAGUAAUACAUCAGGUCAGGCUGUCCAGUAACAUGCUAUACAUCAGGUCAGGCUGUCCAGUAACACACUAUACAUUAGGUCCC